This 253-nucleotide ribosomal RNA is filed under the name uncultured bacterium. RNAcentral describes it as "partial 16S ribosomal RNA". It matches the Rfam family "Bacterial small subunit ribosomal RNA", at positions 524 to 776 of the family's 1533-position model. The record is from RNAcentral.
UACGGAGGAUGCAAGCGUUAUCCGGAAUCAUUGGGUGUAAAGCGUCUGUAGGUUGUUUUGAAAGUCUGUUGUUAAAUACUAAGGCUUAACCUUAAAUCAGCAAUGGAAACUGCUAAACUAGAGAAUAGUAUGGGUAAAGGGAAUUUCCAGUGUAGCGGUGAAAUGCGUAGAUAUUGGAAAGAACACCAGUGGCGAAAGCGCUUUACUAGGCUAUUUCUGACGCUGAGAGACGAAAGCUAGGGGAGCAAAUGGG